UGGGGGAUAUUGCGCAAUGGAGGAAACUCUGACGCAGCAACGCCGCGUGAAGGAAGAAGGUCUUCGGAUUGUAAACUUUUGUCUUCGGGGACGAUAAUGACGGUACCCGAGGAUGAAGCCACGGCUAACUACGUGCCAGCAGCCGCGGUAAUACGUAGGUGGCGAGCGUUGUCCGGAAUUACUGGGUGUAAAGGGUGCGUAGGCGGGUUGACAAGUCAGAUGUGAAAUCCCAUGGCUUAACUGUGGGACUGCAUUUGAAACUGUUGGCCUUGAGUGCAAGAGAGGUAAGCGGAAUUCCCAGUGUAGCGGUGAAAUGCGUAGAUAUUGGGAGGAACACCAGUGGCGAAGGCGGCUUACUGGACUGCAACUGACGCUGAUGCACGAAAGCGUG
Molecule: ribosomal RNA, 391 nt
Filed under: uncultured bacterium
Lineage: Bacteria
Description: bacterial SSU rRNA
Rfam family: Bacterial small subunit ribosomal RNA
Source: RNAcentral